This 492-nucleotide ribosomal RNA is filed under the name uncultured bacterium. RNAcentral describes it as "partial 16S ribosomal RNA". It matches the Rfam family "Bacterial small subunit ribosomal RNA", at positions 29 to 507 of the family's 1533-position model. The record is from RNAcentral.
AGUGAACGCUGGCGGUAGGCCUAACACAUGCAAGUCGAACGGCAGCACAGUAAGAGCUUGCUCUUACGGGUGGCGAGUGGCGGACGGGUGAGGAAUACAUCGGAAUCUACUUUUUCGUGGGGGAUAACGUAGGGAAACUUACGCUAAUACCGCAUACGACCUACGGGUGAAAGCAGGGGAUCUUCGGACCUUGCGCGAUUGAAUGAGCCGAUGUCGGAUUAGCUAGUUGGCGGGGUAAAGGCCCACCAAGGCGACGAUCCGUAGCUGGUCUGAGAGGAUGAUCAGCCACACUGGAACUGAGACACGGUCCAGACUCCUACGGGAGGCGGCAGUGGGGAAUAUUGGACAAAGGGCGCAAGCCUGAUCCAGCCAUACCGCGUGGGUGAAGAAGGCCUUCGGGUUGUAAAGCCCUUUUGUUGGGAAAGAAAAGCAGCAGGUUAAUACCCCGCUGUUCUGACGGUACCCAAAGAAUAAGCACCGACUAACUUCGUG